UACGGAGGGUGCAAGCAUUGAUCGGAAUUACUGGGCGUGAAGGGCGCGUAGGCGGUGAGGGAAGUCAGAUGUGAAAUUCCGGGGCUCAACCCCGGAGCAGCAUUUGAGACUUUUUCACUAGAGUACAGUUAGGGAAAACGGAAUUCCACGUGUAGCGGUGAAAUGCGUAGAUAUGUGGAAGAACACCGGUGGUGAAGACGGUUUUCUGGGCUGUGACAGACGCUGAGGCGCGAAAGCUAGGGGAGCAAACAGG
Molecule: ribosomal RNA, 253 nt
Filed under: uncultured bacterium
Lineage: Bacteria
Description: partial 16S ribosomal RNA
Rfam family: Bacterial small subunit ribosomal RNA
Source: RNAcentral